GGUUGUGGUUCAGUGGUAGAGCACUUGCCUCACAUGCAUGGGGCACUGGGUUCGAUCCUCCAUACCA
Molecule: transfer RNA, 67 nt
Filed under: Marmota monax (woodchuck)
Lineage: Eukaryota; Metazoa; Chordata; Mammalia; Rodentia; Sciuridae
Description: tRNA.Val
Source: RNAcentral